CUUUUUUUUUUCUUUUUUUUUUGUAAAAAGCUUCCUUAAUAUAAGUUCGCAAAAGACCCAAAACUUUUAUAGAAAUUAGCCCAGUUAGAAUCACACAAAGAACCUAAUUUUCAGAGCCCAUCAAAGCCCAGAUGAAAAUAGAAAAAGUAGCCCAGCCCAAGUAAUAUUUCAGUAGCCAAAAGGUCUCUAGCGGAGAAGACGAGAGUCGCUGAUGGAGGAGCAAGAAGGCGAUGCUCAGAUCAAGAUAAUAGUAGCCAAGUCUGCAUCAUCCUUGAGGAAAGUAAGGGGUUUGAUUCUCUGAAGCUCUGCACCUUGUUGAUCAGUUGCCGAUCAAUCAGUUUGAAGAUUGAAUCAACCGGACGGAAGACGUUUGCAUGCAUUCGAUUGUUCCUCUCAUUCCAAAGCCAGUAUAGAGUCGCCUGCCAAGCCAUCAGAACCAGCUUACGGUGAUGCUUUGGUACAAGCUCUUCAGGAUCCAUGCCAAGACUCGUUUCGUGCUGAAAAGGAACUCCAUCAAAAGUGGUCUUUCCUUCGUGAGAUUGAGGAGAUGUUCUUUCGACAAAAGUCUAGAAUUACCUGGCUCCGAGAGGGUGACUUGAACACGGCAUACUUCCUCCGCAUCUGCCAAACAAGAGCCAGCUACAACGCAAUCAGAGCUUUCCUUACUGCCACAGACACUUGGAUAACAGACCCACUUCUGAUGAGCUCCCAUGCUGUUGAUCACUUCCAGUCUGUGUUUGCGCCAGUCAUAUACCAGCCGCCCUCUACUUACUCUUCUUCAGCCUGGUUCCUUGAGCUGACGGACUUCACUUUCCCGAUGGAGCACUUGCAGCAGAUGAUCUCGAUCCCUUCUCCAGAUGAGAUAAGGUCCUGUAUGUUCAAGCUAAAUCCCAGCAAGGCUCCGGAGCCUGAUGGACUAACAUCAAGAUUCUUCAAAGCUUCUUGGGAAGUAGUAGGAGGGGAAGUAAUCACUGCGAUUCAAAACUUCUUUGCGUCUAAGUUCCUGCCAGCAACAACAAACUCAGUCAGUACGUUGAUAUUUACAAAAGGUCUCCACUCACUUAUCGUCUUGGAUUUUAAAUCCAGUAUAAAUCUACGCGUGUCCAAAGAAGCAAAGACCUUCGACCGAGGGAAAGUGACAAAUUAGGAAUAAUGAACUUUCCAUAUAUUGUACAAAUGCCCUAAUAAUUCCAUUGUAUAUACUCCACAUAAUACACUAUCCGACGACAAGGGUUCUGCCAAGUAACAUAAUUCGUAGACAUAUAAUCUUUAGCAAUACUUUUUGACU
RNA transcript from Raphanus sativus (radish), 1288 nucleotides. RefSeq lists it as uncharacterized. The transcript is spliced from 2 exons. The record is from RefSeq and is a predicted model, not a curated record. NCBI's taxonomy places the organism in Eukaryota, Viridiplantae, Streptophyta, Magnoliopsida, Brassicales, Brassicaceae.